AACGAACGCUGGCGGCAUGCCUAACACAUGCAAGUCGAACGAAGCCUUCGGGCUUAGUGGCGCACGGGUGCGUAACACGUGGGAAUCUGCCCUUCGGUUCGGAAUAACAGUUAGAAAUGACUGCUAAUACCGGAUGAUGACGUAAGUCCAAAGAUUUAUCGCCGAAGGAUGAGCCCGCGUAGGAUUAGGUAGUUGGUAGGGUAAUGGCCUACCAAGCCGACGAUCCUUAGCUGGUCUGAGAGGAUGAUCAGCCACACUGGGACUGAGACACGGCCCAGACUCCUACGGGAGGCAGCAGUGGGAAUAUUGGACAAUGGGCGAAAGCCUGAUCCAGCAAUGCCGCGUGAGUGAUGAAGGCCUUAGGGUUGUAAAGCUCUUUUACCAGGGAUGAUAAUGACAGUACCUGGAGAAUAAGCUCCGGCUAACUCCGUGCCAGCAGCCGCGGUAAU
Molecule: ribosomal RNA, 449 nt
Filed under: uncultured bacterium
Lineage: Bacteria
Description: bacterial SSU rRNA
Rfam family: Bacterial small subunit ribosomal RNA
Source: RNAcentral